Molecule: ribosomal RNA, 524 nt
Filed under: uncultured bacterium
Lineage: Bacteria
Description: bacterial SSU rRNA
Rfam family: Bacterial small subunit ribosomal RNA
Source: RNAcentral
AAUAGAUACCCGGGUAGUCCACGCCGUAAACGAUGAGUGCUAAGUGUUAGAGGGUUUCCGCCCUUUAGUGCUGCAGCUAACGCAUUAAGCACUCCGCCUGGGGAGUACGGCCGCAAGGCUGAAACUCAAAGGAAUUGACGGGGGCCCGCACAAGCGGUGGAGCAUGUGGUUUAAUUCGAAGCAACGCGAAGAACCUUACCAGGUCUUGACAUCCUCUGCCACUCCUAGAGAUAGGACGUUCCCCUUCGGGGGACAGAGUGACAGGUGGUGCAUGGUUGUCGUCAGCUCGUGUCGUGAGAUGUUGGGUUAAGUCCCGCAACGAGCGCAACCCUUGUUCUUAGUUGCCAGCAUUCAGUUGGGGCACUCUAAGGAGACUGCCGGUGACAAACCGGAGGAAGGUGGGGAUGACGUCAAAUCAUCAUGCCCCUUAUGACCUGGGCUACACACGUGCUACAAUGGAUGGUACAAAGGGGCUGCAAAAUCGCGAGGUUAAGCCAAUCCCAUAAAACCAUUCUCAGUUCGGA